UUAAAUAAUAUCAACCGCAAAGCGAAAGCAAACGUGAAACUUGGGCAAAACGUAACCGCCCUCUCCUCAGUAAAUGAAAAUCUCGCGGCAGGAAGUAAGCCUUGUCUGUCCACGUGAUUGUACUAUUUUUCCGCAAAUCUAGAGCCCAAUAAGCACACCGGUUUGUAACGUGAUUUUAUACUUCUCAAAUAUCCAGAUUUUUAGCUCAUAUUUGUGGUCUGUUCCCCGUAGAAUAUGUGGUUUUCUAGGAAAUCGUUGAAGACUAUAGUAACUAAGUACUAGCAGGCGUCAAUCUCAUGGCCGGCCUUAGACAGACGCGAACUAAGCAACCGCCUAGGACGCCCUACAGGCCAGCCUCAUACAGGGUGCAAAUUAAAAAAAAUACUUCUCCACACUUUUCAAUUGACUGUAGCAUUGCGCCCUCCCCCACUUUCGUAAUCCAAAGCACGACGAUUCCACAGUACAUAGAACACCCCCCUACUGUAUUCUUCAACUCCCUCCCCCUGCAUUUACUGCUCCAAUUGACAGUAUAUAAUUCGGAUCACACCCGCCUCUUAUUCCUUUCUUCACUGACGAGAUUGAGGCGGGUGCAUCUAUUGGCUGUCAUCGUUGCUUCCUCUUCCUGAAUCUGAUCUCUGGACUGGAUGGUGUGAAUCAUCGGCAACCUGGUUUCCUUCAGCACGCGGGCUACAAACUCCGAUUUUCUUUAUGCAGUCGUGCUCCUUGUUUGCUUCACUUGCUUGCUUCAUUGCUUCUGGUAAAGGUGCAGCCAGAUAAAACAAACCAGGAUGCAAUGCACAGCUGACCAAGAUGGUAUUGAAGCCUGCAUUUACUGGAAGCACAGUAUCUCUCACAGGAAUUCCAAAAAGUGAAUAUCCAGACUUGACCACACAAAAUGGUAAUCAGAAGGUCACAAAUGAAUAUUUGUUCACAAUAAAUGUUUUAUACCAGAGCAAGACUCCUCCAUGACCCUAUUUGGUGGUUUGUGCGCUCCAUAACUCCCAGCUACUUAUUACAGCAGAGGGACAGCAGAAUGGACCAAGAAGUGUGCUGGACCCAGAUGUCAAUGGACUGAAGCCAUCCUCUGUUAUACAAAGGGGAGGAAACUUUACCUAUGUCUGUGGCACAAGAUGUAAUUGCAGUGAGUUUGGAGAAAGAGCACAGGGUGCUUGCAUGGUUCCACAGAGGGAGAGGACCCUGUUUCAGUGAAAGAAAAGGAGAUCAGUGGAUUACAACUAGUCUAAAGACAAGGCAGAACAAGGAAAUAGAUGUAACUACUUUGCCUCUGCACCUUGUACUGGUCAAAUCAAUUUAUAGACCUUUCAGAACACCAGAUGGUUCAUUAUAUCCAGUCAUUAAAACAACAGAAUACUCAUGAAAUCAGAAAUACUUCACGAAAGUACUGCAAUUUAUUUUACAGCCGAAAUGGGCAAUGCACUGCCAUCACUAAAGUGCUAAGUGUCUUAACAUUUUAUUUAGAACAUGCUUGAAUGCAGUUUUGCAAGAGGAAAUACUAAGGGUGCUUACAGUAAAACAGCAAAAUUAUGCUCAAAAGGCCUCCUGCAAGAAAAGGAUAUUGUACACUGAUGUCUAUCUAAAGUUAGACAUCUUUCAUUUAAUUGUGUUUGAUUUUGAAUAAGUGAUUUGAUAAAGUAAAACAAGUGUUGAAGUGUCACAAUAGCUGUGCUUUUACUUGGAAAUACAUUAACAAGAAAAUAAACUGAACCAAAUUACUGUUUCCCAGCUAUGAGACUGAAUGCAUGAAGCCCAUUACAAGGACAGUCUAUUUGAAAAUGAUGCACUUGUUGAUUCAGACAGUGGUACAUCCUACUACUGUGGAUGACAACUCUACUUACCCUGUAACCUCCACAAGACAAACAUUUUUUUCACAUGCAGUUGGUUUGCUUUUAUACGCUACCUCUAUCAAAGUGAUGCCUUACCUGUUUUUUUGUUACUGCUCUUACACACAUAUUUAGCGAAUGGCCAGAAAUAUAAAGCCCAGUGAUAAAACAGAGAGCAGAAACAUUGCAUAAUGAUCAUCUGUCCUUGUUUCAAAAGUUUAAUAAAUGCUGGUCUAAUUUUAAGUUCUCUAGAUUCACUUUAGACAAAUAAACAAAGAUAAAAUAAAAAACGAAAAUAAAAAUAAAACACCAGCAGGAAUUUAAACCAAAGAAAACGUGUUUUUAAGCAAAAAAAAAAAACAGUGAGCACUUAUAUUCUACAAUACACACAUUCUUCAGACACUAUUUAUUUGAAUUUUUCACACCAGGCAUGACUUGUGUGUUUCUCUUUAGACAAAGUCUGAUACAGAUGACUAUGAAAUGAGCAAAUGAAAAUAGUGUAUAAAUGUAGGACAACUUCACUACUGGUUUAUGGUAGUGAUGUGUGCAAAGCUCUGGAAAUGAAUAAGGGAUUUCCAAGAAUAAUUCUAAGCUAUAGCACUGUAUAUUUGAUGAUCAGUACUAAAUUCUGAAGAAGGAAGGAUGCUGAGAAAAUCUAGACUUUGAAAUAAACUGGCAUGAUACAUGUUUGUUGAUAAGUAGUGUGCUUGUCUCGUCUGUUAAAUUCUGCACGCAAUCAUGACAAUAAUAAUUCAUGUGAUAUCACUUCUGCUGUUAUUGGUGGUUGCAUGUCAUGUGACUUUUUACAUUGCUUAAUUAAUCCUGUGUGUAGAUGAUUAUUCUUGAUAGCUGAUG
Molecule: long non-coding RNA, 2696 nt
Organism: Protopterus annectens (West African lungfish)
Lineage: Eukaryota; Metazoa; Chordata; Ceratodontiformes; Protopteridae
Exons: 5
Source: RefSeq, a predicted model, not a curated record